This 1008-nucleotide long non-coding RNA is filed under the name Anser brachyrhynchus (Pink-footed goose). RNAcentral describes it as "lncRNA (ENSABRG00000020958.1)". The record is from RNAcentral. Lineage: Eukaryota; Metazoa; Chordata; Aves; Anseriformes; Anatidae.
AUGUGGCGGCUGAGGUCUGCCGUGCCAGGGAGAGGACAGGGCCGAGCAAGGCACCUUGUCCCAGCUCUGCUGUGGGAUGCCUGUGCACAGCAAGGCCCUGUUGCUCUCUGCUCUCAGUUUGGCUCUCAAGUCUGCCUGCAGCCACCGAGGGGUUCAUGCCGCUCCGUUUCGGUCAUUGCUGUGGCUGUAAUCGCGGACCCUUGUGGUCCUCCGUGUCUUCAAGCCUUAUGCAGGGCUUGUCCUGCUCUUUGGAUCUCACUCUGUUUGCUGGGGAGCCUGGACGGGGCUUUGGGGGAUUUGUGUCGGGUUUUCCCAGAUCAACCUGGCACUGAGCAGCCUGACGCUGCCCUGGGGGGGGUUUCCCUUUGGUGCCAGGGUUUGGAUGCACUAUUCGGCACCGAGUGCCACCUGCCAGUCCCGAGACCAGCCCGGGGCGUGCCACCGAAGCCGUUAAUUUCAGCAGAGUGCCUGGGCAAGGCCAAGGUCCUCCGGCAAGCAGCCGUUAGCGCUCACCUUUGCCCAGCUCGGCGUUUCAGAGGGAAUAAUUUGCAAUCAUACCACAGCUUCAGAAAGCAUCUGAGUCAGAUAUGGGUGAAUUAUUUGCAGACAGCAGAGCUGUUUUCUCCUGCACAGCAACAGCUUGAACAGUCUGGAGAGGGAGGUUUUGCUUCUUGCAAGUGGAGGAUGCAGCACCAUGCUCCAGGAGAGGGCUGCUGGCUGUCUCGGUGAGACAUCGAGAUGUGCCCAAGCCCUAGCCGAGCAGGCACAGCCGGACCUGAAGGGUCCUGAAGAAAUGCUCCCUCCAUCCCUGUUCCCACCUGGCACGCUGGCCCCUUCCCAUCAGCUGCAGCGGCUUUUUAAUAGCCGUUUCCCUGUGAAAUCGGAAGGAUUGCUGGCUGUGAAAUACAAAUGGUAUGUACUAAAUGCUGUGUAAUGGAUUCCUCUUGAAUCAUUUCGUGCCUGCGUGUUUCUAAUAAAAGGUUUCGGGAGCGGGGUGGUUUUGCUGGC